Long non-coding RNA from Neofelis nebulosa (Clouded leopard), 723 nucleotides. RefSeq lists it as uncharacterized. The transcript has 2 exons. NCBI's taxonomy places the organism in Eukaryota, Metazoa, Chordata, Mammalia, Carnivora, Felidae. The record is from RefSeq and is a predicted model, not a curated record.
AAGCGCUCGAAAUAGGAAACGAACAUUCGGUGCGGCUGCGCAGACCGCAGCUGGACGGGACCAUCCCACGGGAACGGUCCCGCGAACACGCAGGCAGCCUCACGAGGUCCCGGGCGCCUGCAGCGUCUGUAUGCAGACUGGGGGCCCAGAGACACAACACGGUUCGGCGGUGGAGACGGGCCACAACAACCAGAGGACGGUGAAUGUCCGCAUACAACAGGAUGACGUUGGACCUCCUUCUCUCACCAUAAGCAAAUGGACAUCAGCUGGUGAAUGGAUGAAUGAAGUGUGGUAACUCUAUACAAUGGAAUAUUGUUCUGCAACGAAAAGGAGUGACGUAAUGUACACAUGCUUCAACAUGGAUAAACCUUGGAAGCAUGUUGCUAAGUGAAGGAAGACACACAUUAAAAGCCACCUGUUCAGAUUUCAUAUAUGUGAGAGUUCCAUAAUGGGCAAAUCCAAAGACAAAAAGCAGAUGAGUGGUUUCCACAGUCUGGGGACAGAGGGUCACGGGAAGUAAUAGCUAAUGGAUAGAGGGUUCCUCUGGGGGUGAUGAAAUGUUCUAAAAUCAAUCGUGGUGAUGGUUGCACAACUCUGUGAAAACACCAAAACAAAACAAAACAUUGAAUUGUACACUUGGAGUGAAUUUUAUGGUAUAUACAUUUCAUCGCAAUAAAGCUGCUGAAAACAUGCUUAGCACAGUGCCUAAUGGGUGUUUCCCAA